GAGCUCACUUCGGAAGCACAUAUCCUAAAAUUGGAAUGAUUCAGAGAAGAUUCACAUGGCCCCUGUGCAAGGAUGACAUGCAAAUCCAUGAAGCAUUCCAUAUGUUU
Molecule: small nuclear RNA, 107 nt
Organism: Cervus hanglu yarkandensis (Yarkand deer)
Lineage: Eukaryota; Metazoa; Chordata; Mammalia; Artiodactyla; Cervidae
Source: Ensembl